This is a non-coding RNA of Dermacentor andersoni, 439 nucleotides long. The record is from RefSeq and is a predicted model, not a curated record. NCBI's taxonomy places the organism in Eukaryota, Metazoa, Arthropoda, Arachnida, Ixodida, Ixodidae.
GAUAUUUGGGCAGACCGACGCCAUGGGACCGGAAGUCCACCUUGACAACCUUGGGCUUCUUCGGAGGCGUCGUCCUGUUCGCCGUGGUCUUCGUUGUCCUCCUGAGCAAGAUUGGGCCUUCGAAAAGUGCAGCUAAAGCCGAGAUGCUGCGUGACGACCCGAUCGAGCGUGCGAAGAAGCUCGGUUGCCAGUGCACUCCUGUCGCCGGGACGGUGCUCGGCCCAGGCGAACGGCCCUACUACUGCGUCUGUCCCAAGCCGAAUCCCAGCGGUGGCACGCAGUCGAAUCAUUCUACCAAGGUUCACAAUAGUUCGCGCCCCACUGGUGGCCCUGAAAACACGGAGAAACCGGCGUGACGAGGCACUUCGGCGUCAGUGCCCUCCUGCGACCGCGCGCGCUUCCAGCUUGGGACAAAAACGCUGAAACGAAGGCGGUGGUU